Molecule: long non-coding RNA, 2483 nt
Filed under: Nicotiana benthamiana
Lineage: Eukaryota; Viridiplantae; Streptophyta; Magnoliopsida; Solanales; Solanaceae
Description: long non-coding RNA (NBEN_LNC012162)
Source: RNAcentral
AAUUAUCCCAAAUACCUGCCACAGUUGGCCCAAAUCUGCCCCUGGUUCCCCUUCUUUUCACUUAUACAAACGACUCUGUUUUCCCCCUAAUUAAUAUCAGCGGUCUAUGUUACUCAAAUCAACAUACAGGAACAAAGGGGUCUUCAAUAUUUAGCUGUCUGAACUACUCUACCCCCCCUAUCAUCUCCCUUAGACAACACCCUACCUCACAGAACACGCCUUCAAAACCCUAGCCGCCACCCGUUCCCACCACCCAGAAACCCGACGGUGCCACCUCCUUUCACCCUCAAAAUCACACCAAACAACCACUUCCCUAUCCUCAUAUCAAGUCCCCACUCCAUCCCAUUCAUAUCUUUCCAGCGGCUCGAAUCUUAAAUCUAAGGUUCGAGUCUCACAAGCCCAACUCCUAAACCUGUGCAUGCAGGUUUUUUCCCAUUUUUCUUGAGUUUUGGGUUGAUUUUAUCCCUUAAUAACGUUGUUCUAUUGUUCUUGCUAAGAAUAAACGCCUAACGUUAUUUGAGGACAAAAUGAGAGGUUCGAGUCAUCACGGGUUCAAGAUUUUCAGUUGGUAAGUUCUUCCUUCUCUUGUGAUUUUCUUUCAGUGGUUCAUCUUCCUCCUCAUCCCUUUUCUUUUGGACUGGUCAAAAUUUCUUUGGGUAUUCCGAGUUCAAACUGGUUCCUCUUCUUUUCUUUUGUUAGCGGGACUAUUUGUGUUCUUUAAUCCACUUUGUUUUGUUUGUUUUAGUUUUUAUGUUAAUAGCAUAAUUAUUAUUUCAUCAUCUGUUAAUCACCUAGAUAAUGAAAUUAGGUCCAUGAUUUAAUUUACUGUUGUUAUAAAAUUAGAUUGGUUAAUUCAUUCAUUUUGCUUUUGUUUCAGCUUGAUUUCAAUAAAUGGUUUUAGGGUUCUUUGUUUGGGGAAAUUCUGGAUUGGCUCUAAUUCGGAGUCUAUAAGUGUUUUAAUUGGUCUACAUAUCAAAGUCCCAAAUAGGGAUUCAAUUUAAUUUCUGCAAACCCAUUAGUUUGGAUAGUUGACCCGAGUUGGAUUUAAGGGUAAAUAAAAGUAGGUAAAAGGUUAGUUUUGAGUAAUUGCUUAAGGGAAUCUUUGUAUAACUGAUCAGGAAGCUUCUUAGAAGCUGACUUAGGAAUUAUUUUGAAACUCUAAAUAGAGAUAUCUAGGCAAAAAUGAAAACAUGAAAGGGGCUAAAAUGAAAAUCUGAUUCCUUUUUUGUUGCCCGAUUUCCUUGCCUAUAAAGGCAUCUCAUCCCUUGCGUUUCAAGUCAGAGAUCAAUAGAGAAAAAUCCAGAAAAAGGCAGACGGCUAAAAAUUGUCAUUGUUCCAUUGAGAUUUUCUCUUGUUUCUUUGAUUUCUGAAGUUUUUCAAGUACUGAAAAUUUCCGGUUCAUCUGUGGUAGAAUGUUUUGAAUUUAGUUUGUUAAAUCCUGGUUAAAGUCAGCUUUGAUUAGUGUUCGAUUGAGAGUAGAUUUGGACUGUUUUCCCAUAAUUUUUAUAGCUUAAAUGGACUAUUUGUGUUGAGUUCGGUUGUGCUGCUGCUGCUGCCUUGUUCAUCUACUGAACCUCAUCUACUUCUUGUUUCCUCUUAUUUCCCAGGUGCAUAUCUCUGAAUCUUAAGUAUGUAAGAAAUGGUUCAUGAAGUGUCUUUGUUGAAGAGAAAUGAAGAUUGUGCUUUCCUUUACCAGAUGUUAUCUUCUUUUAGUUUUUAUUUGUAGUUUGUUUUUGUCGAUUUUAUCUCAACAUGUUUCUUUUUCAGUUUGUCUUAAAGUUUUAUAUCAAAACUGUAGUGGGACUAUUAUGUAGUAUUUGUUGAUUUUGGACUGUUUAAUUUCUAAGUUCUGCUGUUGUUAGGAGUGACCAUCAAUUUUGAGAUCCAUGCAUAUUUUUGUAAAGAUUGUUGAAUGUUUUGUUAAUCACAAGGUUAUUAUAGUUAAGACUGAGCAUGUAUGUACAAGUUGAAGUUGUUAAGUUUUGUUUCUAUUGUUGGUUUGGUCUUGUUUGAGAAUGGCUAAGAGUGAAAGGGUUGCUUUGAUUUGCAAAUGUCAGUGAUUUUAAGUUGAUUUAGAUGGUUAUUAUAUGACUAAGUGUGUAUUGAAAUUAAGCAUGCUUAGCUAAAUUCAAUAGCCUUUCUUGUUCGAGUGGCUGGUGGACAUUUGUGUAUUUCAGUAGACUUCAAAUUGCUUUUCAAACGUUUCAAUGGAUUUGACAUGAGAUAUUCUAAAAAAUUUAUGCACUUUACGUUUCAAAUAGCUUAAGUCAUUCCUAUUUAUGUCAAUGAGUGCUGCACUUUUGGAAGCUUAUGAUACCUCAAAUUAAAACUCCUACUCUGUGAGUUAAAAUUAUUUUUGGUUCUUUAGGGAUUCGAUCUCUGGGAAAUGCCCAUCGCUGCCCUCUUUUCUACUAGGACUGGGCCUAGUUCAGGCCCAAAGCCUUGAAGGCAUUUGUUGUGAUCGCUAUUUCCCUUUGGUUUGA